This 254-nucleotide ribosomal RNA is filed under the name uncultured bacterium. Its description in RNAcentral is "partial 16S ribosomal RNA". It matches the Rfam family "Bacterial small subunit ribosomal RNA", at positions 524 to 777 of the family's 1533-position model. The record is from RNAcentral.
UACGAAGGGGGCUAGCGUUGCUCGGAAUUACUGGGCGUAAAGCGCACGUAGGCGGCUUUCUAAGUCGGGGGUGAAAUCCUGGAGCUCAACUCCAGAACUGCCUUCGAUACUGGAAAGCUCGAGUCCGGGAGAGGUGGGUGGAACUGCGAGUGUAGAGGUGAAAUUCGUAGAUAUUCGCAAGAACACCAGUGGCGAAGGCGGCUCACUGGCCCGGUACUGACGCUGAGGUGCGAAAGCGUGGGGAGCAAACAGGG